AGAACUGUGGGGGUAGCCGGCCAUUUUUUUUUUCGAAAGAUUUUCUUUUUUGAUAGAAGAGACAAAGGGAGUUCUUUUGGCUUAAAAUCCGAAUAAUAUUCAUUACUUGCUUGAAAUAAUAUUCAUUACUUGAUAUUCAUUACUUGCUUGAAUUGGUUCUUUCAAGCAUUUAUCGAAAAGGGCUUCGAAUUUGAUCAAUUCAAUUGAGGUAUCUGGAAACAAGAUUUUUUCUUAUUUCUUCAUUUGAAACGGGCUCUUAUUCUAU
RNAcentral lists this long non-coding RNA (265 nucleotides) under Eucalyptus grandis. RNAcentral's name for it is "long non-coding RNA (EGRA_LNC001510)". The record is from RNAcentral. Lineage: Eukaryota; Viridiplantae; Streptophyta; Magnoliopsida; Myrtales; Myrtaceae.